GUCAAAAGGAACAUGUGGCCUUGCCUAAGUUUGGUCAACAUUGAUGGGAGCUUUCUGUAAGCCAGAAACUUCAAAUAAACAGAGUUCCCAGCCAAGGAAAAGAAGAAACAGUGUGUGAGCAGAGAGUCACAAUUAAGUCUGCAAAUUUAUUUUUUAAGCUAGUCUUUGCCUAAAUGAAGACCGAAGUACUCCGAAAAUCUACAAUUACAUGAUUCUAAAAGAGGCAAGUUUGUGAUGUGUCUUUCUUUGGGUAUUUCUUUGGAUAGCCUAGAGUAACGAAAGACCUAGAUGUGGUGCUAAACCAUAGAUAUGGAUGGACUCAAAUCACCUCUAUGUAUUACCUUCUCAAUCCUUACCAAAUCAAUUUCUGGUAUGGACAGCACACCCAGUUUCCCCAGAUGCUCUACCUGAAACCAAAGGUGGAACUAUGACUGAGGAUUUUCUCAGUAUUUUCAUCAAAGCCGAGUAAUAUCUUCUCAUCAUAGCGCAAAGGAAUUUCAGUUUCUGAUAUCCUAUUUGACUUUGACAAUAAAUCAAAAGAUCCUGCUCCUUC
Long non-coding RNA from Neofelis nebulosa (Clouded leopard), 553 nucleotides. RefSeq lists it as uncharacterized. The transcript has 2 exons. Lineage: Eukaryota; Metazoa; Chordata; Mammalia; Carnivora; Felidae. The record is from RefSeq and is a predicted model, not a curated record.